GUCCAGCCUUCAGCCCGGUUCGGUUUCUAGGUUGGACCCAGGGCAACUCCAGCCGUUUCCAGACCCGGUUUCGGAAAAGAAAUGAUCAAAUAAAGCCUCGAAAGCUCCUGAGGUAAAAGCCGCAGAGGAUCUGAGCGGGACGGCCCAGCCCCUCCGGAGGCAGCGAGCGCGUGGAGGCGGUGGCUCCGGCUCAGGAAAGAGAGAAGCUAACAAGAAAAGCCACUCUUCUUGUUUCCAUCUCCACAGUGGAAGAAAUGCCCUCUUUUUUAGUUAAGAAAACAGAGAGUCAAAAGAAGAUGGGAGACCUCUGCACACUCAAUCAGGAAAUUCCUGGAAUACCAGACUGUUUCCAUCAAUGGUAGGUCAUUGCUUUUAUCAGCUUGUAUUGCUGAAAUGCAGUAAGCACUGAUUACACAAGCACUAAAUGCCAAGCAAUGCUCAUAAAUCUUGGUAGGAACAUGAGCUUUAGAGUUGAGGUCUCGGAUUUUCUUUUUACCUUGGUACUGAGUCAAAAAGAAAGAUUUUAGAAUCAGGGUCUUCUUCCACCCCUAAUAAAAUGCUCUCUUCACUCUCUUUGUGGAGUAUU
This 586-nucleotide long non-coding RNA is filed under the name Sus scrofa (pig). RNAcentral's name for it is "lncRNA (ENSSSCG00060059797.1)". Lineage: Eukaryota; Metazoa; Chordata; Mammalia; Artiodactyla; Suidae. The record is from RNAcentral.